This 300-nucleotide unclassified non-coding RNA is filed under the name uncultured fungus. Its description in RNAcentral is "partial contains small subunit ribosomal RNA, internal transcribed spacer 1, and 5.8S ribosomal RNA". The stretch from base 1 to 73 matches the Rfam family "Eukaryotic small subunit ribosomal RNA", at positions 1759 to 1831 of the family's 1831-position model. The record is from RNAcentral. Lineage: Eukaryota; Fungi.
UCAAACUUGGUCAUUUAGAGGAAGUAAAAGUCGUAACAAGGUUUCCGUAGGUGAACCUGCGGAAGGAUCAUUACUGAGUUAGGGUCUUUUGGCCCGACCUCCAACCCUCUGUUUAUUAUACUAUGUUGCUUUGGUGGGCCUGCCUUUUGGGGCUGCUGGGGGCAUUGCUGCCCCUGACUCGUGCCUGCCAGGAGCCUUCUUAAAUUCAGUGUUCAACGGUGCUGUCUGAGUCCCAGUAGCGAAAUAUCAAAAACUUUCAACAACGGAUCUCUUGGUUCUGGCAUCGAUGAAGAACGCAGC